AGUAACGCGUGAGGAACCUGCCUCAAAGAGGGGGACAACAGUUGGAGACGGCUGCUAAUACCGCAUAAGCCCACGGCUCGGCAUCGAGCAGAGGGAAAAGGAGCAAUCCGCUUUGAGAUGGCCUCGCGUCCGAUUAGCUAGUUGGUGAGGUAAUGGCCCACCAAGGCAACGAUCGGUAGCCGGACUGAGAGGUUGAACGGCCACAUUGGGACUGAGACACGGCCCAG
This 227-nucleotide ribosomal RNA is filed under the name uncultured bacterium. RNAcentral describes it as "partial 16S ribosomal RNA". It matches the Rfam family "Bacterial small subunit ribosomal RNA", at positions 109 to 334 of the family's 1533-position model. The record is from RNAcentral.